This 433-nucleotide ribosomal RNA is filed under the name uncultured bacterium. RNAcentral describes it as "partial 16S ribosomal RNA". It matches the Rfam family "Bacterial small subunit ribosomal RNA", at positions 29 to 507 of the family's 1533-position model. The record is from RNAcentral.
AACGAACGCUGGCGGCAGGCCUAACACAUGCAAGUCGAGCGCGCCCUUCGGGGUGAGCGGCGGACGGGUGAGUAACGCGUGGGAACGUGCCCUUUUCUACGGAAUAGCCUCGGGAAACUGAGAGUAAUACCGUAUACGCUCUUUGGGGGAAAGAUUUAUCGGAAAAGGAUCGGCCCGCGUUGGAUUAGGUAGUUGGUGGGGUAAUGGCCUACCAAGCCGACGAUCCAUAGCUGGUUUGAGAGGAUGAUCAGCCACACUGGGACUGAGACACGGCCCAGACUCCUACGGGAGGCAGCAGUGGGGAAUCUUAGACAAUGGGGGCAACCCUGAUCUAGCCAUGCCGCGUGAGUGAUGAAGGCCUUAGGGUUGUAAAGCUCUUUCAGCUGGGAAGAUAAUGACGGUACCAGCAGAAGAAGCCCCGGCUAACUCCGUG